AGAAUAUCGACGGUGAAACUACCAAACCACGUAUCUCGGUUUGCUACGUUGCAGACUUCCUGUUAUACUUUAUUUUUUAAAUGGAAAACUACUCAACGUCAAUUCUUGAGAACUUCCGUGAUUUUUCUUCACUGUGCGAAGAAAAAUCUGUGAAAAUUUCAAGAAAUAAUAAUGAUUUGGUCUCCUUCAAAAAAAUAAAAUGAGAGCGGAGAUUUUUAGACACCGCAAACGAGAUACGUGGUUUGGUAGUUUCACCGUCGAUAUGUACCUAGUUAAUAAUUUUCAAAUUUCAGCCCCAGCAGUGUAACUAUCACAGGUUUAUCAUAUUGUCUCUUCUUAGAUUAUCUUAUCAAAUUUUGAAAAUAGUGGCCAUAUUUUGGAAAUUAUAACAAAAAUGAGCUGUUCUAAAAAGACCUGGCUUGACACUGGAAACAAGGAUGAUUUAAAAGCUCAAGAUUAAAACUAACCUAAUAUAUUAUUUGAACAAAUAUUGACAAAGUUUUGGCAGUUUUAAAACAGGAUCAAUGCAAACUGCCUGCUUUUUUAAUUUAACAAGAUUUUUUUUUUAAUUUAAUCGUGUUCAUUUUCCUAAUGAUUUUUUAAUCCUCCCGAGAACUUGUAAAUCUCUGAAUUGGCACUGCAUGAUAUGUUCAAAUUGGUCUAUCAUGUGACGAUUCUGUUCGUCAGUGCAGUAUUCCAAAGUGGGCAAAGUAUUUCCAAGUGGCAGUAUAGUGGGCAGUAUUCUGUAGGCCUUGUUUUUCCUUUUGCAUUGUUUUUCAAGGAGCCCCUUAGAUUUUGUCUUAAAAGACGGUUCGAAAAAGUUUCAUGGGCCACUUUGAAGAAACUGAAAAUUGUCUAAAAGAGUUCAUAAAGGUGGUUUAAGUAGACCUUUUUUUCAAACAUCCAUAACUUGGUCAAUUCUCAAUCAAAUAAAUUGAUAUUGAUCUCAAUCUAUAACUUUUUCAUGUCUUCUUUCCAAAAAAAAAAAAAAAAAAUAAAUAAAACAAAAAGAAAAAAGAAAAUAAAAAAAAUUAAAAUUGUCUUGAAAAGUAGGUUUGAUCCAAAGCCACAGGCCAUUCAAUAUCUUUUCUGACAGCUCUCAUAGAUCACAAAGGCCUAGAUAUCUUAUAAAAUAAUAAUUCAAGUGCCCUAAUUCUUAUUCCAACAUGUUUAUUUCAGCUCUUCAUAUCUUGUUUAUCUAGAAACUGAAAUGAUUUAUCAUUAAGAGUUUAUAGCAUCUUAUUUUAAAUCUUUUUCAGCACAUUAUAAUGCUCAUCUAUUAAUCAGGAAGUCAGUACCUAUGUAGGUACUCUUCAUUUUUGGUUUUAAGAUCUCUGAUAUUUGUAUUUUUCUAAUAUAAUCGAUUCCUAAAUUCCAAACUCUCUUGCAAUUUCUUUCUCUUACCAACAACUAUUUUAUUUAUAUACUUAUUUCUUCCCCUGUCUUUCUAAAAGAAAUUGACUGCCAUAAGAUU
This 1474-nucleotide long non-coding RNA is filed under the name Bemisia tabaci. RNAcentral's name for it is "lncRNA ENSSSA2NGG014019". The record is from RNAcentral. Lineage: Eukaryota; Metazoa; Arthropoda; Insecta; Hemiptera; Aleyrodidae.